RNAcentral lists this unclassified non-coding RNA (507 nucleotides) under uncultured Microcystis sp. Its description in RNAcentral is "partial contains 16S ribosomal RNA and 16S-23S ribosomal RNA intergenic spacer". The stretch from base 1 to 122 matches the Rfam family "Bacterial small subunit ribosomal RNA", at positions 1414 to 1533 of the family's 1533-position model. The record is from RNAcentral. Lineage: Bacteria; Bacillati; Cyanobacteriota; Cyanophyceae; Chroococcales; Microcystaceae.
GCCACGCCCGAAGUCAUUACUCUAACCCGCAAGGGGGGAGGGCGCCGAAGGCAGGGCUAGUGACUGGGGUGAAGUCGUAACAAGGUAGCCGUACCGGAAGGUGUGGCUGGAUCACCUCCUUUAAGGGAGACCCAAAUUCAAGUCAAAAGUCAAAAAUAAUAGACAAAGACUUGAAAGAAUCCCGAGGUCGAACAAGGGAAAGCCAAAGCUUUCAAACUAAAAAAGGUUCGGGGGAAUGGGCUAUUAGCUCAGGUGGUUAGAGCGCACCCCUGAUAAGGGUGAGGUCCCUGGUUCGAGUCCAGGAUGGCCCACCUGCACAGGUGGCAAAAACAAAGAAGCGAGGAAUCAGCACCUUAUCUUACUUACAUAGUAAGAGAGAAUGCUGGCUCUGAGUAAAGAGUCCAGAGGAACCUUGAAAACUGCAUAGAGCUAGGUGAAAAAGCCAAAAAAGAAGACCGCAAGGUCAAGCUAAUAAGGGCUAACGGUGGAUACCAAGGCACACAGAGG